AUUGAACGCUGGCGGCAGGCCUAACACAUGCAAGUCGAACGGUAACAGGAAGAAGCUUGCUUCUUUGCUGACGAGUGGCGGACGGGUGAGUAAUGUCUGGGAAACUGCCUGAUGGAGGGGGAUAACUACUGGAAACGGUAGCUAAUACCGCAUAAUGUCGCAAGACCAAAGAGGGGGACCUUCGGGCCUCUUGCCAUCGGAUGUGCCCAGAUGGGAUUAGCUAGUAGGUGGGGUAACGGCUCACCUAGGCGACGAUCCCUAGCUGGUCUGAGAGGAUGACCAGCCACACUGGAACUGAGACACGGUCCAGACUCCUACGGGAGGCAGCAGUGGGGAAUAUUGCACAAUGGGCGCAAGCCUGAUGCAGCUAUGCCGCGUGUAUGAAGAAGGCCUUCGGGUUGUAAAGUACUUUCAGCGGGGAGGAAGGGAGUAAAGUUAAUACCUUUGCUCAUUGACGUUACCCGCAGAAGAAACACCGGCUAACUCCGUG
RNAcentral lists this ribosomal RNA (490 nucleotides) under uncultured bacterium. RNAcentral describes it as "partial 16S ribosomal RNA". It matches the Rfam family "Bacterial small subunit ribosomal RNA", at positions 30 to 507 of the family's 1533-position model. The record is from RNAcentral.